GUAGGGAGGUGGUGAGUGUAGGGAGUGGUGAGUGUAGGGAGGUGGUGAGUGUAGGGAGGUGGUGAGUGUAGGGAGGUGGUGAGUGGUGAGUGUAGGGAGGUGGUGAGUGGUGAGUGUAGGGAGGUGGUGAGUGGUGAGUGUAGGGAGGUGGUGAGUGGUGGGUGUAGGGAGGUGGUGAGUGGUGAGUAUAGGGAGCUGGUGAGUGUAGGGAGGUGGUGAGUGUAGGGAGGUGGUGAGUGUAGGGAGAUGGUGAGUGUAGGGAGGUGAUGAGUGUAGGGAGGUGGUGAGUGUAGGAGGUGGUCAAUGUAGGGAGGUGGUGAGUGUAGGGAGGUGGUGAGUGGUGAGUGUAGGGAGGUGGUGAGUGUAGGGAGGUGGUGAGUGUAGGGAGGUGG
Molecule: long non-coding RNA, 392 nt
Organism: Oncorhynchus tshawytscha (Chinook salmon)
Lineage: Eukaryota; Metazoa; Chordata; Actinopteri; Salmoniformes; Salmonidae
Source: Ensembl